UUAGCUACGCUUUCGGGGGGGGGGGGAGGAUAAACACCACGAUCCGGGUACCAGGAGCCAUUGCACUCCAGAUGUGCUGAGCCUGUGAUCUCCUCCAAUGUGGGAAACUUGAGUGCAUACUUUGUGAUAGUGGGGAACUGUUUUUGCAGACCCCCU
This 156-nucleotide small nuclear RNA is filed under the name Peromyscus maniculatus bairdii (prairie deer mouse). Its description in RNAcentral is "U1 spliceosomal RNA (ENSPEMG00000001719.2)". The record is from RNAcentral. Lineage: Eukaryota; Metazoa; Chordata; Mammalia; Rodentia; Cricetidae.